AGGACGAACGCUGGCGGCGCGCUUAACACAUGCAAGUCGAGCGAGAACCUGGCCUUCGGGCCUGGGGAAAGCGGCGAACGGGUGAGUAACACGUGGGUAACCCACCCUUGGUACCGGGAUAGCCCGAGGAAACUCGGAUUAAUACCGGAUGGCCCAACAGCUCUUCGGGGCGGUUGGAAAAGGUAGCUUCGGCCUCCGACCAAGGACGGGCCCGCGGCGGAUUAGCUUGUUGGUGAGGUAACGGCUCACCAAGGCGACGAUCCGUAGCUGGUCUGAGAGGACGAUCAGCCACACUGGGACUGAGACACGGCCCAGACUCCUACGGGAGGCAGCAGUGGGGAAUCUUGCGCAAUGGGCGAAAGCCUGACGCAGCGACGCCGCGUGGGGGAAGAAGGCUUUCGGGUUGUAAACCCCUUUCAGGAAGGACGAAGCCACUCGGGUGAAUAGCCCAGAGGGUGACGGUACUUCCAGAAGAAGCCCCGGCUAACUACGCGCCAGCAGCCGCGGUAA
RNAcentral lists this ribosomal RNA (510 nucleotides) under uncultured bacterium. RNAcentral's name for it is "SSU rRNA". It matches the Rfam family "Bacterial small subunit ribosomal RNA", at positions 26 to 523 of the family's 1533-position model. The record is from RNAcentral.